RNAcentral lists this transfer RNA (93 nucleotides) under Candidatus Bathyarchaeota archaeon. RNAcentral describes it as "tRNA-Lys". It matches the Rfam family "tRNA". Rfam says of the family: Transfer RNA (tRNA) molecules are approximately 80 nucleotides in length. Lineage: Archaea; Thermoproteati; Candidatus Bathyarchaeota. The record is from RNAcentral.
GGGUCGGUAGCUCAGCCAGGUAGAGCAUGGGAAUGCUCCUAAAGCAUCGGGCUUUUAACCCGGGGGUCGCGGGUCCGAAUCCCGCCCGACCCG